GACGAACGCUGGCGGCAUGCUUAACACAUGCAAGUCGAACGGUAAGGCCCUUUCGGGGGUACACGAGUGGCGAACGGGUGAGUAACACGUGGGUGAUCUGCCCUGCACUUUGGGAUAAGCCUGGGAAACUGGGUCUAAUACCGGAUAGGACUACGCGAUGCAUGUCGUGUGGUGGAAAGCUUUUGCGGUGUGGGAUGGGCCCGCGGCCUAUCAGCUUGUUGGUGGGGUGAUGGCCUACCAAGGCGACGACGGGUAGCCGGCCUGAGAGGGUGUCCGGCCACACUGGGACUGAGAUACGGCCCAGACUCCUACGGGAGGCAGCAGUGGGGAAUAUUGCACAAUGGGCGCAAGCCUGAUGCAGCGACGCCGCGUGGGGGAUGACGGCCUUCGGGUUGUAAACCCCUUUCAGCACAGACGAAGCGUAAGUGACGGUAUGUGCAGAAGAAGCACCGGCCAACUACGUG
This 464-nucleotide ribosomal RNA is filed under the name uncultured bacterium. Its description in RNAcentral is "partial 16S ribosomal RNA". It matches the Rfam family "Bacterial small subunit ribosomal RNA", at positions 28 to 507 of the family's 1533-position model. The record is from RNAcentral.